Molecule: long non-coding RNA, 2870 nt
Organism: Papaver somniferum (opium poppy)
Lineage: Eukaryota; Viridiplantae; Streptophyta; Magnoliopsida; Ranunculales; Papaveraceae
Exons: 3
Source: RefSeq, a predicted model, not a curated record
CCUUAUUCUUCUUCCCCUCAUAUGCUUGCUGAAAUUUAGUAGGAAGAGCACUAGAAAAUUCGCUCAUGAAAUUAUGGAGUUGUUUGGAUUGAUAUAUAUUUGGUGCUUUGAACCAUUGAUGAAGUUGAAAUGAAAGUGUGAGAUAGUUGUUGCUAUGGAUUUCUGCAAGAGAUGAUUGCUACCAGAAUAAGGUACUUUGGAGUCAUUUGGAACAAAAGAAGAAGAAACGUCGCUCAAAAGGACAAGACGGAUUAUUUCUCAUUAUUUGCUUUUAUGUCUUCAUCUCUGUCUGAAAAGUAUGUCGACUUUAGUGAUGCAAAUUUCUGUCUGAAAAGCACGACUGCUUUAGUGAUGAAUAGAAAUUGAAGAGAUGAAGUAGGUCUGAGAAGUAAGAGGCAACUGCUGUUGGUGGAGCGAAAUAAGGAGAAAUCAUUCACAAAGGGGCAAUUCACACGCGAGCUAUACUUUGAGAAGGCUAAGGUGCGGGCGAAGGAGGUGAAUUAGGUUGUCGGUUUCCUGAAACUGACAAUCCAAGUAUCACCGUGGUGGCCUGCGUCAACUCUUGGGGUGCCUAGAGUCAUCUGGGUACCCCUUAUCUGCCUCACCUGGAUAGUUGUAUCACUUUCAUUUCCUACAACCCUAAAAUCUAUACUCAUCAUUACAUUCGACCACAAAUUCAGAGAUGAGAAAACGACUGCUGUAAGAAAGAACAACACGGAGAGAAGAAGACUAUGAAGAUUCAGAUCGGGAAUUAAAAGAAGAGCUGAAGUGAUGCUGGCGUGUAGUUGUUGCCAUCAAUUGAAGCAAGAAAUUCGAGAAGAAGGUAGGGUUUGCCAGAUGAAAUUCAUGGGGUUGAUGGCUGAAGUUCUCGUCAAUUUUGAGGAAGAAUGAUUAAUGGGGUUCUUGAGUUCGAGUUUGGACGUUGCUGGUGAAGAUGAAGUUGAUGAUUUAUUGAACUGUGGCUUAAAUUGAACAAGAUUAGGGUUCUCAUGAUGAUUUAGGUGAAACUGUGAAGCAGAUGGAAAGAAUUUGAAGUAUGGUUUAUGGGUUGAAGACUGAAUCGAAAUGGAGUUAGGGUUUAGUCAACUGAGUGAUUUCAGUUAAUGGGUUUUUGCAGUUGUUGUUGUUGUUUGCGGUGUUGAUGAUGGUUAGAUUCAAACUUCGAUGGUUGGUUGAGAAAUAUGGGUUGUUCUGGAUCUGAAUCCGAGAGAAGAAAUUGAUGUUGUUGAGUACAAAGAAGAUUAAGAAGCUGAGGCCAUGGAUUAAUGGGUAUCUGAGAUGAUUCUCAGGGUUUGUCGAGAUAAGUUAUGAUUAAGCAGGAGAUGAAAUUGCAAGAGAUAGCUGCAAUCUGGUGAUGCUCAAGUGAAUGCUUAGAAUGAAUCAGAAUAAGCCUGUGCAGCUGGAGUUGUUGUUCAGCAGAGGGUUUUGGUAUUGAAGUUGGAGCCAGUGUCGGUAGUGGUUGAAAUGGAACAGAAACCUACAAGGCUGAAGAGUGAGUUGGAGUCAAGGGCGUGCGCUGAAAUGUGCUAUGGCAGUGUAGUUUUGCUGCUAGAGAUGGGCUGUGAAUGACUGAACGAUUGCGGAGUCUGGAAGAGCAAGUAUUGACGAUUGCAGGGCGCAAGUGGCGGUGAUUGCAGAGGAUGAAUGAAACUAUUGAUGGCAGAUGCAUUCAGAGAGAAGCUGCAGAGUAGUGGAGGCCGGUGCUGUUGAUGAUUAUUGGUAUCGCAGGUCUGAGGCUGUAGGGUGCUGCAAUGGGUAUUUCAGCUGAGCUGAAAUAGAAUUGGAUUAAACUGUGUUGGUGGUACUGGAGGAUUAUUGUGAAAUUAGAUGUAUGCCUAGGUCAGGUACAAAUUAGCAGGUAAUGAUGAUUGCAACUGUACAUGGGAGGUCCUUUGAGCUAAAGGGUUAAGAGUUAUUGGAGUUGCACCUGCUGAUCAGUUUUAACAAAGCUGAAAUACAAUUGAAGGUGCAACAUCUGAGAUUACAAGGGUUGAGCAUUGCAGAUGCAAGUUAGUACUGUUAACUUGUUGCAGUUGUUGCAGUUAGCUGCAGUUGGGAGAUAUUGCAUCACAGAACUGCCUGAAGUGGAGCACUGGUUGGUGGUAAUGAAGUAACUAAGAAUGAAUGUGAUGGUAUUGAUUAUGUUGUUUACUUAUGGAACUGAUGAUGAAGUUGGUGGUGAUUUUGAGCAGGUGGUUGUGGUGAUUGCCAUGGGUCUGAAUGAGGGCUCAAGUGCAGAUGGAAAAGAUAGCAGGUGUUUGAGAAAUGCAGCUGAAUUGCAGGCUAUAAACAAUGGGUUAGUGGACUGACUAAGAUGGAGUAGCAGGGAUGAGUGCAGGGCCAUCAUGGCUGGACUGAGUUGUGUGAUGCACCAUCGUUGUGCAACACACAGUUCUGGCUUGUGCAAGACUAUGGUCUGACAAGUCAGAUCAGUUACUCUGACUCAGCUGAGUUGUUUGACUCAGCCACUGACUCGGUCUGACUUUGAUCGAGUUGACUCGUCUGACCUUGACCGAGUUGACCCGUUUGACCGGUGACUGGGCGGACUUUGCCGGUCACCUAAGAUACUUCUCCGGCCAACUUCCGGCCACGAUUUUGCAGAGUUUCUACAUGGGUUUUUCUCACUUUUGGGCCACGUGGAUUUUUAUCUAAUGGAAUUUGAAGACUUGGACCUAAUUUUGGAACAAGAGGAGCUAUAAAAGAGAAGACUUCUACAAUUUAUAGGACGACGUAUUAUUCUUGAAGCUAAGGAGAGAGAUGCUUUGCUUUGCUUUCAUCUUAUUUAUUUGAUUAUUGAUUAUGAUGAACUCCAUAGCUAUGAGGAGCUAAUUUAUUAUUUAUUGGUUAAGGAUGUAGUCUUAUUUUUAAAA